This is a non-coding RNA of Podarcis lilfordi (Lilford's wall lizard), 6787 nucleotides long. Lineage: Eukaryota; Metazoa; Chordata; Lepidosauria; Squamata; Lacertidae. The record is from the annotation of a GenBank genome assembly.
AUGUAGGACAGUCAUCCACCUCUCUGCUCACCAGCGUGUGGAUGCAGUGAACUGAACCUUUACCAAAUAUUCAGGUGUGAUCAUGGAAAAGGGGGCGCAUGCUUCUUGUAUGCACUUGUGUAGAUAAAAUGUCACAAAAGCAGCUCUUCCAAAGAUCUUCUGGAAAUCUUUAAUGAGCUUCAGAUUGUGAAAAGCAGGGGGAUGCUGCCACCUGUUGGUGUGCAUUUUCAUUUUCACAGACUCUUAUCCUAAAUUCUACUUAUCUUUCUCCAUUAGGCUUUUGAAACAAAAAGAUUAGCUGUGAGUGAAACAUCAGCAGGAUGACUCAAACACUGUGGAAAGCAAGGUCCCUUAAGCAACUGCAGGUGACCAGCUUCUUCUUGCCUGGGGAUCAGACAAAGUCCUGGAUAAGUCAAUGAAUGGCUACUAAUCAUGGUGGCUGAAUACUACUUCCAAGAGCAUAAGCCAAAGGUUGCCAACCAUCUUGGACCAGUGAGCACAUUUAAAAUUUUGAAAGAGUUCUGUGGGCUCCAGUCACAAAAUAGCUGCUAUGGGGAGAGGGUGUGCAGCAUAACAUCACAUGGCUGCCGUGGAGAGUGUGGCACAACACACAAUUUAGAGAGACAGGCACAGUGGACGACUUUGCUUUACCAUGCAACCUCAGCUGUAUCCUGCUGGCCCUGGUUUUAACAUAUACACACUAUGCAGAGAUGUUGCUGUCAAUGUGUCUAUUUUAUUGUUAUGCCGUCUGUUAUGCUUUCUAUUAUGUUUUUAAUGUUUUACACUGCCCUGGGAACUUUGAUAAAGGGCGUAUAUAAAUUGAAUUAACUUCAACAACACCAACACCAUUUAAUAAUAAUAAUAAUAAUAAAUUUAUUAUUUAUACCCCGCCCAUCUGGCUGAGUUUCCCCAGCCACUCUGGGCGGUUCCCAAUCAAGUGUUAAAAACAGUACAGCGUUAAAUAUUAAAAACUUCCCUGAACAGGGCUGCCUUCAGAUGUCUUUUAAAGAUAGGAUAGCUGCUUAUUUCCUUCACAUCUGAAGGGAGGGUGUUCCACAGGGUGGGCGCCACUACCGAGAAGGCCCUCUGUCUGGUUCCCUGUAACCUCACUUCUCGCAAUGAGGGAACCGCCAGAAGGCCCUCGGCGCUGGAUCUCAGUGUCCGGGCUGAACGAUGGGGGUGGAAACGCUCCUUAAAACAAAUUACAAUCUCAAGAAUAAAGUGGGUGCUUAGAUAUUAUUUUCCCAAAAAUAAUAAGCUAGCUAAUAUUUUACCACAUCACAAUUUUGGCCUUAAAAAACUGUUGGCAUGCUGAGCAGCAGAGGGCCCUCAUUCUUCCCUAGAGCUAUCUAUGACAUGGACUCCAUGCAAUAUUCAUUUCAGCUCAAGAUUGGCAUGCAAUUGUUGUAAACAUAACUUUUUUAAAGAAUAAGAGGCUACCAAAUGUACAUAGUAAAACUUAUAUUGGCAAUAAACACAAGAAUGCAUGUCAGGAGAUAGAAAGGCAGCUCUGGUGACCAUGAGAUGUUUACAUGAGAUGUUAACUCUUUCUUGUAACCCCCAAUCUGUAAGGGAUGCUGGUGUAGCAAUAAAACUGCUAGCACAUUUGCAAAGUUAAGCAGGGUCUAGUUUGGUUUCAAAAUGGAUGGGGGACUGAGCAUUGAGGAGGUUGGACUAGAUGAUACCUGGUUCUCUUCCAACUCUAUGAUUUUAUGAUUAACCUUUUAAUAACGUUUCAGAAAAAUGUAAUUGGUCAGUGUAAAGUUUAGCUAUUCUGCAAUUACAGAAUUUGCAUCCAUCCAUCCAGUCUAUGGAACUGAGAGGAUUUUGUAUUUUUGUGCUGAUGCAAACAUUUGCACAAACUAUAUUGGCUACCAUUCUAUUUCUUACUUACAAGCAUGGUAUAAAUCAAGGAGCAUUCCGGGGGGUAGACUAGAUGAUUCUUGGGCACCUUCCAAUUCUACAAUUCUUUGAUUCUAUAAAUAGAGGAUUAGACUGGGGAAGAAAGCAAUAUGACAUGAUUAUUCUUAAAACCCUCUUUUCAAAAGGUAAAAGAGAGUAUUUUAUUCCCACAGAUUCCGAAAGCACAAUAAAGGAUCAAAAAGAGGAAAACUGUUAUGGAACUUCAGAAGAACCCUGAGACAUGUGAGUUGUGCAAGUCCCACUUUAUAAUAUUUAUGCGACCUCCUGUAUGCAUUCUGUAUGUAUUUUUUUUUUUUUUUUUAAGCAAUUUAUUGGGUUUUACAAUAAAAAUAAACAUCAUGAACAAUAUAACAUUUGUCUUAACAUAGUUUCACAUUUUCUUUGGACUUCCUCACAUCUCCCGCUCCCACUUUCAUCGUUAUAACAUUUUAUCAGCAAUUUAUCAUCUUAUUUAGAUUCUUAUAUCCCUUCUAUAUUUCAUAAUCUUGUAAUUCUCGAAAGGAGUUAAAUUUUCACAAUCUUAUUUGUUUUCUUAAAAAAGUUCUAGAUUAAGUGGUGCUCAGUUGUUUUAGUCUAGCAUCUUAUUUAACAUUCACUCAAAUUACAAUGUUUUUGUAGAUAAUUCUUAAAUUUCUUCCAAUCCUCCUCUAUCCUCUCUUCUCCCAGGUCACGAAUUCUGCCGGUCAUUUCAGCCAGUUCCAUGUAGUCUAUCAGUUGCAUCUGCCAUUCUUCCAGUGUGGGUAGAUCUUGAGUUUUCCAGUAUUUUGCGAGAAGUAUCCUUGCUGCUGUUGUUGCAUACAUAAAAAUGUCUGGUCCCUCUUUGCCACCCCUUGGCCGACAAUACCCAAAAGGAAAGCCUCUGGUUUCUUAGUGAAGGUAUAUUUAAAUACCUUUUUCAAUUCAUUAUAAAUCAUUCCCAGAACGCCUUCACUUUAGGGCAAGUCCACCAGAGGUGGAAAACGUUCCUCACACUCUUUACAUUUCCAACACUUAUUAUCAGACAGGUGGUAAAUUUUUGCAAGUUUGACUGGGGUCAUAUACCAUCUAUAAAUCAUUUUCAUUACAUUCUCUUUCAGAGCGUUACAUGCGGUAAAUUUCAAUCCAUUACUCCACAACCUUUCCCAGUCCUCAAACAUAAUAUUAUACCCAAUGUCCUGUGCCCACCUUAUCAUAGCCGAUUUAACCGUUUCAUCUUGUGUAUUCCAUUUUAACAGCAAGUUAUACAUCCUUGAUAGUACCUUAAUCUUUGGUUCUAACAAUUCUGUUUCUAGUUUCGAUUUCUCCACCUGGAACCCUAAUUUCUUAUCAUUUUUAAAAACUUCUUUAAUCUGAGCGUAAUGUAACCAAUCUCGCACUUUGUCUUUCAUUUUCUCCAAACUCUGCAAUUUCCAAUUGUCUCCAUCCUUUUCUAGUAUUUCCCAAUAUUUUGGCCAUUUAGCCUCCAUAUUGGGUCUUUUUCGGGCCUUAGCUUCUAGUGGUGAAAGCCACCUGGGUGUUUUAUUUUCCAGCAAGUCUUUAUAUUUUGUCCAGACAUUAAACAGUGAUUUUCUGACAAUAUGGUUCUUAAAGGCCUUAUUUGCUUUAACCUUGUCAUACCAUAAAUAUGCAUGCCAUCCAAAAGCAUUAUUAAACCCUUCCAAAUCUAACACAUCAGUGUCUUCAAGGAGUAGCCAAUCUUUUAGCCAGCAGAACGCUGCGGCUUCAUAAUACAACUUUAAGUCUGGCAGGGCAAAGCCCUCUUUGUUUUGCAUCAGUUAAUAUCUUAAACUUAAUUCUGGGCUUUUUGCCCUGCCAGACAAACUUAGAAAUGUCUCUCUGCCACUUCUGAAAGCACUCCGUUUUGUCCAGAACCUGAAGUGUUUGAAAUAAAAACAACAUCCUUGGCAAUACAUUCAUCUUAAUAGCAGCAAUUCGGCCUAACAAAGAAAGUUUCAAUUUUGACCAACUAUCUAAGUCUCUCUUAAUUUCUGUCCAACAUUUUUCAUAAUUGUCCUUAAAUAGACUUAGAUUUUUUGCUGUUAUAUUUACCCCUAGGUAUUUUACUUUUUUAACCACAUUAAGUUCCGUCUCAUUCUGAAACCGUUCUGACUCUGUAUCUGUCAAAUUUUUCCCCAAAACCUUGGUUUUCUGUUUAUUUAAUUUAAAUCCAGCCACCCGACCAAAGUCAUUAAUCAGUUGUAAUACUCUUUUCGUACUCUGGCUCUGGCUUCUGCAGGGUCAAAACCAGGUCAUCUGAAAGUAAUUUAUGUUGACCACUUCCUUCCCCACUAUAGUAAUAGCACUUCGAACCAAAUAACAAGGAAUGGGCAGUCGUGUCCCAUGAACUUCUACCAAUAUAACUAUCAAUUGCUUUCUGUUCUGAUAUAUCCCUCAACCAUUCAAACCGUCCCUCCAUCUUGUUCCUCAUAAUUUCGUAUUGUGGCCUCUCAUUUUAUAUCUGGUUCAAAUGUAAUGUUUUUUAAGAUGUACGCCUGGUCUUUUUAUUUAAACUUUAAAUCUACUGCUGUCUGAAUUUUAACAUUAAAAGGAGAUACGUGUUCUUAAGUUGUGUUUUCAGCCAUUAUGUGAUGUACCGGCCCAAUUUCAUUGUGACCUCAUGUGUCAUUAUGUCUUUGGAGGUCACCCAUCUGGCCCUGGAUGAGCAUGUUCUGGAUUGUUCAACUAGUGUUAUUUGGUCAGUUGUCCAUUUUGUGAUAGAUAGUCCAUUUUGCUGUUUUAGCAUUCUGUAUGUAAUCCAGUAUUGCAUGUUUGGCUAGUAGCAGUUCUCCUGGGGCUCAGUAUCUCACAAAACUGCUGGUGAUGCCAAGGACUAUGUGUGGGAUCUUCUGUAUGCAGAGCCCUGUGUAAUGUCCAUGUAUAUGCAGAAAUGCAUCUGCCCGCCCCUCUUCUUUCCAGUGUGAUGGUGUUCACCAAAACACACAAGGAGCGUAAUCAAAUGUCCUGUCAGGUGCCUGUCUUUAUGCUAUGAUUGACCCUUUGGAAUACUGUAACAUACUCUACAUAGGGUUAAACUCAAAGAGCUGCCGCCAAGUUGCUGACUGGGGCUGAUUGUAGGGAGCAUACUAUUUCCUUGCUACAACAGCUCCACUGGCUUCCAGUCUGUUUCUGGGCACAAUUCAAAGUUUUGACCUAUAAAAUACUAUACAGCUUAGGUCCAAGAUAUCUGAAAGACCAUAUUCCCUCAUACGAACCUGUCUGGGUUUUGAGAUCUUCAGGGGAGGUCUUUCUCUUCAGUCCCACCACUUUCACAGGCAUGCUUGGUGGGGACACAGAACAGGGCCUUCUUGGUGGCUGCCCCUGACUUUGGAACUGCCCCCUUCCCCAAGAAGCUAGACUGGCUCCCUCCUUGUUGUCCUUUGGUUGGCAGGUGAAGACCUUCUUCUUCUACCAGGUUUUGGAAAUGGACUUUUAACAAAAGGGCUGGUGCUAUGCUGUUUUUAUUAUAAUUAUUUGUAUGUUUAAACAGAUUUUAUAUGUAUAUAGUUUUAAUUAUAUCAGUGUUUAGUUUUUUAAAUUAUUUUUUUCUAUAUUUUUAGCAUUAUUUUUUUAAAAAACUGUCAGCUGCCUUCAGUCUUGUCAGGAAAAAAGGCAGGGUAUAAGUAAAUAUAAUAAUAGUGGUAGUCCUAAUAUAGCCAGGAUUAUCUGCAUAGGGAAACUUCCAUGUGAGGAUUCUCAUAUGUGUAGGGAUUAUGUGUAGAAGAAAAAUCUGCACACCAUCAGACUGACUGCUAAGAAGCAUUGUGUGGGUGUCACUGCCAGCACUGCCAAUAACGUUGUGAGGUGCAUAUUUCUGUGUCACAACUGGUCAUGCUGUUAAAACUUGAGCACGUGGCUACAUAACACUGCAGUGUUAUCCGGGGCAGAGUGGUACCAAGAUGAUGCUAUCAGGCAUUGCAUUAGCCUCCAGGAAGGCCACUGGGGUGUUGUUUUCUGGAAAGACCACCAAUGGCCCCACUUUCCAUCUCAUUAACACAGUCUCCAGAAGCCAUGCAAGGUUAUUGCUGAGUCAUGUAGAAGCAAACACUUUUCAACAGGAGAUGAGCACUGGCAACUUCAUGGUAUUGCUUCAUGCCAUACUGACAGCGAGUAUCGUAGCUUGUUGGAUUAGACAAUUUGUUAGUCAUAUUCAGCAUAGUGUCAAAAUACAAACACGAUUAACUUACAGAUGAGGUAUUUAGUGGCAAUAUAGGUAGGGGUGUCUCCUCUUCACACCCUCCAACUUUCUGAAGCAAGUAAAGCUGAACUGUGCAAUUUAAUGUAUUUAUUUAUUGGGGACAUUUCUAAUCUGCUCUUCAGUGAAAUAUCUCAGAGUGGCAAAUGUAGAUUAAAAAUUAACAAUAACAUAAUAAUAUAAAAACAAGGAGAAAGAUUUGGUGAAACUAGACAGCUCAUUAAAGCACAACGUAUGGUCUGGGUGGUAACAAGGUCUCCACAUGGGACCAGAGUUGAAAUGCCACAACUCAGAUCCCCACCCCCAUAAAUCUGAAGAGGGGCAUUUGAGGUGGAUCUCAAUUGGGACGAGGCAGUUCUUAAGUGAGCCUGGUCCCAGGCCAUUUAGAAUUUUCAACUUUAAAAGCAGCAGCUUGACUUGGUCUCAGAAUGAAGCCAGUGCAGCUGUUUCAAAACUGGCGAGAGAUGCAUUCCAUCCGUUUGGCCCCACUGAGUAAUCUUAACUGCUAUAUUCUAUGCUAACUGCAGCUUUUGCACUCUCUUCAAGGGCAGUCCCAUGUAAAAUGGGUUGCAGUAAUUUGAGAUGUACCAGAGCAUGAAUGAUUGUGGCCAGGCUAUUCCAGCUGAAGAGAAGGUGCACCAGCAUUAGCUGAAAGGAACCUCUCCAUGCCACUUGAGCUACUUGAAAAAGGAC